GUGAAGCGAAGCACAGGCUGAGAUGGGGGAGGGAGCCCCAGGCAUAAGGGGCCGAGGGGAACCUCCUUCCGCAGGAAGCCCCUCCCGGCCCCUCUCGGGUCUGGGGUCUUCCCUCCUCCCCCUCUAUAUAGCUUGCACACUUUUGUUUUCUUCCCCAUUCGACCGUUAAAUCCCUCAAGUCCGGAGAGCCUGGAAGUCUGACCACUGCCCCGUCCCCCCCGGGAUGCCCCGGAGGUUGGGGGGCUUCUUGGCCAGGGACCGUCAUUUGCCUCUUUUGCAGUCCCGGCUGUCUGCCCAGCGCCUGGCACGUAGUAGGCUCUUCGUAAGUGUUGCUGCCUGGCUACAAAUACAAGGCUUGGUAAUUGACUUAUCCUGGUUGAUCUGCCUGUCCAUUCCAGAAGCUGGACAGUCGGGACUAGAAGGGCCUUGGGGCUUAAUAAACCGGAACUGCCCCCUCUGCAAACGCCCCCCCGAUCCCAGUCUUGGGUCUGAAUACACUGGGCAACGUAGGAGAGAACACCAAGGGCAGGAUUGCAGACAGUCCGACCUGGGCAUCCAUUUAGCUAUCAACAGCCCUUUGAGAGGACGUUCAAGGGCUGACCAUAGUGGAAUGGAGGUGUAGGGCCAUCAUACCGGGAGAGCCCUGGAAACACCCUCGGUGUGACAUGCCCCCUUCAGCGGUCAGUCUGGUGAAGCCUAGAACCUCUUCCCCAAAUAAUGGUUUUAAAGAAUUGGAAAGAAAACCAAUUAUAACAAAAUACAAAUAUCAACAUAUUUUUGAAAAACCAAGGUCAAAGGAUGCUGUUAAGAAACCCAAGUCUGGGGCAUAUAUGGCUUUGAACCCUCUGAUUUGUCCUCACACUCUGGAAUAAGGCUGGGGUUCGAGGAAGUGGAACACAAGGAGUAACAAAGCCCUGCCUUCUCUCUACUCAGGCUUUUCACCGUCUGCUCCCCAGCCUGGAGUGCUCUUCCUCUUCCCUGGCCCUCCACCUGGGCCUCCUGGCUGCCUUCAGUCUCCGCUAAAAUCCCACCUUUCCUCGUCCCCCUUCAUGCUGGGCUCUGCCUCCUUGGGCUCCCAUCCUUCUCCAAAGGGACCGCACUGUGCCAAGGCAGGAAUGGCCCCUGUGCCCCUGACCUUCAGGGCUCUCCAGAAGAGGAAACAGAUGCCCCGAGCUGGAGGAGUGACAUCUUACAAAUAGGAUCCCAGCCCCAGCCCCUCGAUUUGCCAAAAGAGACUGAUGCUGGGACGUCCGAGUUGGAGGGGACCCAGGAAAUUGACUUGCUGAGGUCACUCAGGUACUGUGAAUGGUCAAGCUGAAGGAGAAGAGAUCCUGAGGAGCCCUCGGACCUGCCACUAGAAAUGAAAAAAGCGAGGUUCAGCAUAUGUGAAAAAUGACAGGGCUGGGAGGAUGCCAUGGUGAGAGAAUGUCUGGUUCCCGUCUCUUGCGACCACUGUGAUAGGAGCUGCAUGGCGAUGAGAAAGAAACUCUGGCUCUGACUUCUUGUCACUACGAGGAUAAGAAGAGGAUGCAGCCCCACUCUCUAUUUUGAGCAUCCAGACGUAGCUCUUGGAGGUCUGAAGGUCACAAACCACGUCUGGCAAUGAAGCCACGGCCUCCACUUUGACCAGGUGGCAGAUGUCGGUAUCUUCUUCCUUCUGUUAAUUGUUCCCAGACGUGUGUAACCUCAUCUCCCCUUCCUGCUUUCUGUCAAAGUCCACCUUCCAGUGCUGCUUCGGUGUUCUCAUUCAGCAGAAGGUGGCUGAAGUGUUACGCUCUGGGCUCUCCGACUUUUCAUACAGAUGAGCCUGCAUUAGGAGGGUAAAUAAAAUCCACCGAUCCUAUCUCUGCGCAUUGAUUUCGUGAUUGGCAGGAGUGUGCACACUUGUAUAAUUUGACUGCAGUGGGGAUUCUCAGUGACUAACAUAAUCAGGGAAGGUCUCUCAAAGGAAGGGCCACGUGCAGUGAACGUUGCCCUGGGGCUCCUAGGAGGUCGAGGUGAGGAGCAUUCCAAGAAGAGAAAACAAAGUUCUGUCAACACAAGCAGGUACCUUAACCUCUCUCACUUUCUUUUCCCUCUUAGUUAAGUAAUCAUCUAUUUGGAAAGACCUAUAGCUUUUGCCUUAAGUGGUUGUCGUGAAGACUGAGGACUAUAAUCUGGAACCACCACCUUGGAGCCCUGCAGCCCUGACUGAUGAAGGGGUCAUGUGGUCCACUGUAGCUGGGCCAGUGCCAACAUGCCCCUCUCUAGUCCUUGGCCAGCAGGCCACUAUCCUGCCCCUUCCCACUUUGCCUUUCUGGAUAGGGCUUUUUGCUGUUUGGGGCCAUUUUCCUUAAGGAAGCCUCCUCCCCUAAUGCAGAUGGGCAUCUUCUCAAAAACUUAGAGUUGGGGUGACUUGUCCUACAUCACACAGCCUUUGUAUGGGUCAGAGAUAGGACUUGAAUCUGCCUUCUCCUGGUCUCAAGGCCAGCUCCUGAGCUGCUGCCCAAAGCUGCCUCCCAGGUUCUGGGCCAUGACCAUGGCAAUGCAGCCCUUGCUCCUGGACCCUGGAUAGGGCAUGCCAGUCUCCUCCUGAUAACCCUCUUCAUCAUCCCAGCAACUUGCCCAACCAGAAUCCCUCUUCCUGAUCACACGCCCCUCCCUGAACGUGGCACAUCCUCCCAACAGAACUGUAAACACCAUCUUCAAUUGUCUAUUUGUACCAGGGCAGCUAGGUGGCUCAGUGGCUAGAGAGCU
Molecule: non-coding RNA, 2736 nt
Organism: Phascolarctos cinereus (koala)
Lineage: Eukaryota; Metazoa; Chordata; Mammalia; Diprotodontia; Phascolarctidae
Source: RefSeq, a predicted model, not a curated record